UAUAGCUUGACACUGAACAUUGAGCCUUGAUGUGUAGGAUAGGUGGGAGGCUUUGAAGUGUGGACGCCAGUCUGCAUGGAGCCGACCUUGAAAUACCACCCUUUAAUGUUUGAUGUUCUAACGUUGGCCCGUAAUCCGGGUUGCGGACAGUGUCUGGUGGGUAGUUUGACUGGGGCGGUCUCCUCCUAAAGAGUAACGGAGGAGCACGAAGGUUGGCUAAUCCUGGUCGGACAUCAGGAGGUUAGUGCAAUGGCAUAAGCCAGCUUGACUGCGAGCGUGACGGCGCGAGCAGGUGCGAAAGCAGGUCAUAGUGAUCCGGUGGUUCUGAAUGGAAGGGCCAUCGCUCAACGGAUAAAAGGUACUCCGGGGAUAACAGGCUGAUACCGCCCAAGAGUUCAUAUCGACGGCGGUGUUUGGCACCUCGAUGUCGGCUCAUCACAUCCUGGGGCUGAAGUAGGUCCCAAGGGUAUGGCUGUUCGCCAUUUAAAGUGGUACGCGAGCUGGGUUUAGAACGUCGUGAGACAGUUCGGUCCCUAUCUGCCGUGGGCGCUGGAGAACUGAGGGGGGCUGCUCCUAGUACGAGAGGACCGGAGUGGACGCAUCACUGGUGUUCGGGUUGUCAUGCCAAUGGCACUGCCCGGUAGCUAAAUGCGGAAGAGAUAAGUGCUGAAAGCAUCUAAGCACGAAACUUGC
This 693-nucleotide ribosomal RNA is filed under the name Escherichia coli. RNAcentral's name for it is "partial 23S ribosomal RNA". It matches the Rfam family "Bacterial large subunit ribosomal RNA", at positions 2105 to 2797 of the family's 2925-position model. Lineage: Bacteria; Pseudomonadati; Pseudomonadota; Gammaproteobacteria; Enterobacterales; Enterobacteriaceae. The record is from RNAcentral.